This is a non-coding RNA of Acanthosepion pharaonis, 109 nucleotides long. NCBI's taxonomy places the organism in Eukaryota, Metazoa, Mollusca, Cephalopoda, Sepiida, Sepiidae. The record is from the annotation of a GenBank genome assembly.
GUAAUAUCACGUUGAAACACCGGUUCACUUACGAUCACCGAAGUUAAGAAACUUUGAGUCUGGUCAGUACCUUGAUGGGUUAACACUUAGGAAUACCAGGGGUUGUAAG